GAGUACGGUCGCAAGACUAAAACUCAAAGGAAUUGACGGGGCCCGCACAAGCAGCGGAGCGUGUUGCUUAAUUCGAUGCUACGCGAAGAACCUUACCUAGGUUAAAUCAUAGUGAAAAGCCACAGAGAUGUGGUGUCCUUCGGGGCGCUAUGAAGGUGGUGCAUGGCUGUCGUCAGCUCGUGUCGUGAGAUGUUGGGUUAAGUCCCGCAACGAGCGCAACCCUUGUUCUAUGUUGCCAGCACGUAAUGGUGGGGACUCGUAGAAGACUGCCGGGGUCAACUCGGAGGAAGGUGGGGACGACGUCAAGUCAUCAUGCCCCUUAUGUCUAGGGCUGCAAACACGCUACAAUGGUCGGUACAGAGGGCUGCGAAACCGCGAGGUUUAGCGAAUCCCAUAAAGCCGAUCUCAGUUCGGAUUGAAGGCUGCAACUCGCCUUCAUGAAGCUGGAGUUGCUAGUAAUCCCGGAUCAGCACGCCGGGGUGAAUACGUUCCCGGGCCUUGUACACACCGCCCGUCACACCACGAAAGUCGGCAACACCCGAAGCCGGUGGCCUAACCGUAAGGAAGGAGCCGUCGAAGGUGGGGUCGGUGAUUGGGGUG
This 600-nucleotide ribosomal RNA is filed under the name uncultured bacterium. RNAcentral's name for it is "bacterial SSU rRNA". It matches the Rfam family "Bacterial small subunit ribosomal RNA", at positions 878 to 1482 of the family's 1533-position model. The record is from RNAcentral.